CGCCCACCCUCUAGCCCCCGCCCGCAUCUAAAUUUUCACUAUCAGCAAAUUCAAAUGCACAUCAGACAUAAACUAAAGCAUUCUCUUGACCAAGUAAAGGAGAUAGAAACGUAUCAAGGAGCAAUAG
RNAcentral lists this ribosomal RNA (127 nucleotides) under Atherion elymus. RNAcentral's name for it is "partial 16S ribosomal RNA". Lineage: Eukaryota; Metazoa; Chordata; Actinopteri; Atheriniformes; Atherinidae. The record is from RNAcentral.